UGCCAGCAGCCGCGGUAAUACGGAGGGGGCGAACGUUGCUCGGAUUUACUGGGCGUAAAGCGACCGCAGGCGGUUAGUUUAGUCAGAUGUGAAAUCCCGGUGCUCAACGCCGGAACUGCAUUUGAAACUGGCUAACUAGAGUCAUCAAGAGGAGAUCGGAAUUACCAGUGUAGAGGUGAAAUUCGUAGAUAUUGGUAGGAACACCAGUGGCGAAGGCGGCUAACUGACUCGGUACUGACGCUGAGAUGCGAAAGCGUGGGGAGCAAACAGGAUUAGAUA
RNAcentral lists this ribosomal RNA (279 nucleotides) under uncultured bacterium. RNAcentral's name for it is "partial 16S ribosomal RNA". It matches the Rfam family "Bacterial small subunit ribosomal RNA", at positions 506 to 784 of the family's 1533-position model. The record is from RNAcentral.